AUAUUGGACAAUGGGGGCAACCCUGAUCCAGCCAUGCCGCGUGUGUGAAGAAGGUNUUNNGAUUGNANAGCACUUUAAGUUGGNNNNNAGGGCAGUAAGUUAAUACCUUGCUGUUUUGACGUUACCGACAGAAUAAGCACCGGCUAACUUCGUGCCAGCAGCCGCGGUAAUACGAAGGGUGCAAGCGUUAAUCGGAAUUACUGGGCGUAAAGCGCGCGUAGGUGGUUCAGUAAGAUGGGUGUGAAAUCCCCGGGCUUAACCUGGGAACUGCUUUCAUAACUGCUGAGCUAGAGUACGGCAGAGGGUGGUGGAAUUUCCUGUGUAGCGGUGAAAUGCGUAGAUAUAGGAAGGAACACCAGUGGCGAAGGCGACCACCUGGGCUAAUACUGACACUGAGGUGCGAAAGCGUGGGGAGCAAAC
RNAcentral lists this ribosomal RNA (420 nucleotides) under uncultured bacterium. Its description in RNAcentral is "partial 16S ribosomal RNA". It matches the Rfam family "Bacterial small subunit ribosomal RNA", at positions 361 to 773 of the family's 1533-position model. The record is from RNAcentral.